RNAcentral lists this long non-coding RNA (1310 nucleotides) under Salvia miltiorrhiza (redroot sage). RNAcentral's name for it is "long non-coding RNA (SMIL_LNC001030)". Lineage: Eukaryota; Viridiplantae; Streptophyta; Magnoliopsida; Lamiales; Lamiaceae. The record is from RNAcentral.
UUUCCCUUCAUCGCAGAGCCCUAAUCGUCAAACCCAGGUCGCUGCUGCGGCCGCAUCCUCGUCCGAAAUCCGACGGGCUGCUGUCGUCUGGGAGCGGCGCUGCUCCGGCCUCCUCCUCUCCGUCGCGACUCUCGGCUGAACUCGUCUUAAGCCGAGCCCCAAAUGGCUCGGUUCUAAGCAUAAGAGGAAAGUAUCAGUCUCUAUCUUGCUGUAAUUAUCUCCGCUUGGGCAAGAUAGGAUUUUUGGUGGUUUUUCUCAUUGAUUCUCAGUUAGUGAAUUUAUCUAGCAGUAAAAUAUAGUUAUGCUAAGGUUAGCCAUUUAUGCAUAUAGUUUUUUUUUUAUUGGCAUGAACUGGCAUUCUAUGUUUCUCAUAAAAAUGAGUUCAUAUAAUCUGUUGGUUUGCUAGUGAGUUCUAUGUCGAUAAUAUGGUCAUGCUUCUCCUCUCAUACUCAAAAUCCAAUCGAGCUCUCUCUCCAAUCCAUUCACUUAUCUAGUUUCUGUGAGUUCUUGUGAUUGUUACUCUGGAGUGUAGUGGAAGUGAAGCAUAUAAAUCCUUCUGUUGUAAAGUAUCUCCCUAUUGUACAACAUAUCUUGACUAUUUCGUGUAGAUGAACUGUGAUUAUGCUAAAUAUGGAUGCGAACUGAAUCGAAUACUCUAUUGUUUAACUGAUCAUGCUUGCUGGAUGAUGCGAAAUGGAUCGAAUAAGUUGAGCUUAGUAUAUACCUUGUAAUUGUUUGGUAUUUGGCUGUUGUGUUGAUCUCAGCAUGAGAAGAACUGAAAUAAAGAUGGUUCUUUUAACAAUGCAGGAGGAAACAAGAACAAUAUGAUGAAAACUUAAGCCAAACUUACCUCUUCGAAGUUUCAUAGAAGUUUUACAAACUCUAUCUCUUCCCUUCAAAUUUUCUGGUUUCUGGUGUCCAAGGAAAUGAGUGAAGGAAGUUUGUUGGCUGAAAUGUUAAAGGACAUCGGAGGGAGUAGGUGGGUGUGGGAGUGUAGUGGUGGAGUGGAGUUGGUGGAGUGGAGUUGGUGGAGAGCAAAGACGUUAGCAAAAGAUAGAAAUAAUAACUUUAUCUAAACUUUAAUUGAUUGAAGAGCUUUUGCUUUUGCUAAUUGAUUUGGUUGUCUUCUUGAUUGAUUCUGUAUAUUUAAUCGCGUGUUUGCAAUCAAAUACUGGCUUCUGCUCAUUAUUCGUGUAUAAUUUAAAUACGUAGAUUUAAUUCACUUCACAAGCCAUUUAAUAUCUAGAUUAAAUCCGUAGAUUUAAUCUGCGUUGCAGUCGGAAUAAUUUCUCGACUUCAAGUAGCACUAA